Molecule: ribosomal RNA, 246 nt
Filed under: Vibrio sp. T9
Lineage: Bacteria; Pseudomonadati; Pseudomonadota; Gammaproteobacteria; Vibrionales; Vibrionaceae
Description: partial 16S ribosomal RNA
Rfam family: Bacterial small subunit ribosomal RNA
Source: RNAcentral
CUGGAACUGAGACACGGUCCAGACUCCUACGGGAGGCAGCAGUGGGGAAUAUUGCACAAUGGGCGCAAGCCUGAUGCAGCCAUGCCGCGUGUAUGAAGAAGGCCUUCGGGUUGUAAAGUACUUUCAGUCGUGAGGAAGGCGGCGUCGUUAAUAGCGGCGUUGUUUGACGUUAGCGACAGAAGAAGCACCGGCUAACUCCGUGCCAGCAGCCGCGGUAAUACGGAGGGUGCGAGCGUUAAUCGGAAU